RNAcentral lists this ribosomal RNA (677 nucleotides) under Salmonella enterica. Its description in RNAcentral is "partial 23S ribosomal RNA". It matches the Rfam family "Bacterial large subunit ribosomal RNA", at positions 2254 to 2925 of the family's 2925-position model. The record is from RNAcentral. RNAcentral also lists the same sequence under 1 other name. Lineage: Bacteria; Pseudomonadati; Pseudomonadota; Gammaproteobacteria; Enterobacterales; Enterobacteriaceae.
GUGUCUGGUGGGUAGUUUGACUGGGGCGGUCUCCUCCUAAAGAGUAACGGAGGAGCACGAAGGUUGGCUAAUCCUGGUCGGACAUCAGGAGGUUAGUGCAAUGGCAUAAGCCAGCUUGACUGCGAGCGUGACGGCGCGAGCAGGUGCGAAAGCAGGUCAUAGUGAUCCGGUGGUUCUGAAUGGAAGGGCCAUCGCUCAACGGAUAAAAGGUACUCCGGGGAUAACAGGCUGAUACCGCCCAAGAGUUCAUAUCGACGGCGGUGUUUGGCACCUCGAUGUCGGCUCAUCACAUCCUGGGGCUGAAGUAGGUCCCAAGGGUAUGGCUGUUCGCCAUUUAAAGUGGUACGCGAGCUGGGUUUAGAACGUCGUGAGACAGUUCGGUCCCUAUCUGCCGUGGGCGCUGGAGAACUGAGGGGGGCUGCUCCUAGUACGAGAGGACCGGAGUGGACGCAUCACUGGUGUUCGGGUUGUCAUGCCAAUGGCACUGCCCGGUAGCUAAAUGCGGAAGAGAUAAGUGCUGAAAGCAUCUAAGCACGAAACUUGCCCCGAGAUGAGUUCUCCCUGAGACUUUAGGUCUCCUGAAGGAACGUUGAAGACGACGACGUUGAUAGGCCGGGUGUGUAAGCGCAGCGAUGCGUUGAGCUAACCGGUACUAAUGAACCGUGAGGCUUAACCUU